CAAAGGAUAGUUUAAUAUAAAAUUCCGGUUUUGGGGACCGGGGAGAAGGGUGGAAGCCUUUCUUUUCA
This 68-nucleotide transfer RNA is filed under the name Carettochelys insculpta (pitted-shelled turtle). RNAcentral describes it as "tRNA-Pro". Lineage: Eukaryota; Metazoa; Chordata; Testudines; Carettochelyidae. The record is from RNAcentral.